UAGUAAUCGCGAAUCAGAAUGUCGCGGUGAAUACGUUCCCGGGCCCUUGUACACACCGCCCGUCACACCAUGAGAGUCGAUAACACCCGAAGCCUGUGAGCUAACCGUAAGGAGGCAGCAGUCGAAGGUGGGGUUGAUGAUUGGGGUGAAGUCGUAACAAGGUAAC
RNAcentral lists this ribosomal RNA (166 nucleotides) under uncultured bacterium. RNAcentral describes it as "partial 16S ribosomal RNA". It matches the Rfam family "Bacterial small subunit ribosomal RNA", at positions 1336 to 1500 of the family's 1533-position model. The record is from RNAcentral.